CCUACGGGAGGCAGCAGUGGGGAAUAUUGGUCAAUGGAGGAAACUCUGACCCAGCAACGCCGCGUGAAUGAUGAAGGUCUUCGGAUUGUAAAGUUCUUUUUUAAGGGAAGAAGAUAGUGACGGUACCUUAGGAAUAAGCCUCGGCUAACUACGUGCCAGCAGCCGUGGGAAUACGUGGGAGGCGAGCGUUAUCCGGAAUGAAUGGGCGUAAAGGGUGCGUAGGGGGUAUGGCAAGUUAGUAGCGUAACUCCAAGGCACAACCUUGGAACUACUACUAAAACUGUUGGACUUGAGUGCAGGAGGGGCAACCGGAAUUCGUAGUGUAGCGGUGAAAUGCAUAGAUAUUAGGCGGAACACCGGUUGCGAAGGCGGGUUGCUAGCCUGUAACUGACGCUGAGGCACGAAAGCGUGGGGAGCAAACAGGAUUAGAUACCCCAGUAGUC
Molecule: ribosomal RNA, 443 nt
Filed under: uncultured bacterium
Lineage: Bacteria
Description: partial 16S ribosomal RNA
Rfam family: Bacterial small subunit ribosomal RNA
Source: RNAcentral